Molecule: ribosomal RNA, 428 nt
Filed under: Caulobacter vibrioides
Lineage: Bacteria; Pseudomonadati; Pseudomonadota; Alphaproteobacteria; Caulobacterales; Caulobacteraceae
Also listed under: 1 other name
Description: partial 16S ribosomal RNA
Rfam family: Bacterial small subunit ribosomal RNA
Source: RNAcentral
UGGGGAAUAUUGGACAAUGGGCGGAAGCCUGAUCCAGCCAUGCCGCGUGUGUGAAGAAGGCCUUUUGGUUGUAAAGCACUUUAAGCGAGGAGGAGGCUACUAGUACUAAUACUACUGGAUAGUGGACGUUACUCGCAGAAUAAGCACCGGCUAACUCUGUGCCAGCAGCCGCGGUAAUACAGAGGGUGCGAGCGUUAAUCGGAUUUACUGGGCGUAAAGCGUGCGUAGGCGGCUUUUUAAGUCGGAUGUGAAAUCCCCGAGCUUAACUUGGGAAUUGCAUUCGAUACUGGGAAGCUAGAGUAUGGGAGAGGAUGGUAGAAUUCCAGGUGUAGCGGUGAAAUGCGUAGAGAUCUGGAGGAAUACCGAUGGCGAAGGCAGCCAUCUGGCCUAAUACUGACGCUGAGGUACGAAAGCAUGGGGAGCAAACA